Molecule: ribosomal RNA, 253 nt
Filed under: uncultured bacterium
Lineage: Bacteria
Description: partial 16S ribosomal RNA
Rfam family: Bacterial small subunit ribosomal RNA
Source: RNAcentral
GACGAGGGGUCCUAGCGUUGUUCGGAAUCACUGGGCGUAAAGCGCAUGUAGGUGGCUUAGUAAGACAGAUGUGAAAGCCCUGGGCUCAACCCAGGAAGUGCAUUUGAUACUGCUGAGCUUGAGUAUGGGAGAGGGUAGUGGAAUUCCUGGUGUAGUGGUGAAAUACGUAGAUAUCAGGAGGAACACCGGUGGCGAAGGCGGCUACCUGGCCCAAUACUGACACUGAGAUGCGAAAGCGUGGGGAUCAAACAGG